This 3126-nucleotide long non-coding RNA is filed under the name Homo sapiens (human). Its description in RNAcentral is "HSALNT0381667". Lineage: Eukaryota; Metazoa; Chordata; Mammalia; Primates; Hominidae. The record is from RNAcentral.
GGACUCAUGAGUUGAUCAGUUCAGCUUGCAACAAUUUAGGAAACUUCACUGGAUGCAUGGUUAGCUACAGUGACAGCCUGACUCAAAUGAGCGCUUUUUGUCACAGGUUUAAUGUAGCCGAAAGCCCAUGUGCCAUAUUGAAAACUCCUCACAACCGCAUCCUAGCUAAACUUCACUUCCAUCAUCAUAAUAACCCAGACACAAGGAUAAGCAAGAAGGCAUUAUUUAGAGGAGAAGUGGGGAUGUGAUCUUCAUCCCCAAUUCAGACAUGUGUGUUCUUUCAUGUUUCAUUUGGUUAUGUUUUCUUCCUGUGGGUGCAUGUGAUUUGUCACACACCUGCCUCUAUGAGCACUGGAAAUGUCUGUGAGGAGACCUGGUAGCUCCUGACACCUUGACAUCAGAAAUAAUUAGGAGUUGUUCCAGAGCAUUGCAUCAGAUGAUAAGCUAAAUAUUGGAAAUACAAAGCCUCUAGCCCUGAUAGGGUAAAGGUAACAGAGCCCAGCUCUAACUCUCCAGCUAUGCCUUUGAUUAUGAGGAAGGUAUAUGAAUAUUUAUAAGACUUUAAAAAAGAAUUUGGAUUAUCAUCAGAUGGCUUCAAACACAUGUAAUGUUAAAAUGUUCUAAGAAGAAGACUAAGGGAAGACAAACACUGGCCAAGGCAGGCUUUAUUUAGUCCAUUUCUCUGACCCAUUAAAUUUAUACUGAGUUGCCUCAGUAUAAAUUUCCUAUUUCUGUUAUUUACUCAUGUAAUCUAGGGUCAGUCAUACAACCAGGGAAAGUAUGAAAAUAUAUUCUAAUAUGCGGCAGGUUCUGACCCAUCAGAGGGAUGGUCCCCAAGAUUCCUGCUGUGCUAGGCAUUAAUUCUUCAGUUGGUGAAUUGUAGUGAGGUCUAGGAUGUCCUGGGAGAAGGUCUAGGACAGCCAGGGGCAAAGAGAGGCUUUGGGACAAAAGCUUGAAUAACUAUUAGCAGAAUAACUCAGAAGAUUUGGGGCAACAGUUAUUUAUCACCUGGUUUGGAUUUUUUUUUUUUUUUUUUAACAAUUGGUAUGGCUACACUAGUGCAUAAUGGCCACGUAUAACCUUUCCAUGGUUCUGUUCCUAAUCUGCAGAAUGGGGAUAAUAUCCAGGCUGCCUGCCUUGUAGAGUUGUUGAACCUUAUAUAUAGAUAUUCUCUGAGCACAGUAAAGCCUGUAAAACAGAAAUACAGAGUAAGAGUUUUUGAGAGUAAUUCCUUCCUGCUGGGGGGUGGGAAGCUUUCCCAGCUGGUGAAGGUUCUCUGGGGCUGAGGUUGUUAGAGGGCCAACUCCAAUCUGAGAUUACACAAUAUUCAAAUAAAACUAAGGACUAAAAAUAGACAGUGGGAUUGGCUCUCUAGGAGAGCACUUCAGACAGCUCCUGGGGCCAGAGUAUGGAAGACCAGGACUGAGGCUCCAGGAAGAGGAAAGAAUGACCCCUUCCAUCGCUGGGGCUGUCUCUGAUGUCUGGAUCCUUUACCUGCUCCCUGUAGGGUGAUUUGGUGUGCGUGAAUGAGGGAUGGAGGGGAGAAGAAACCCAUGUUUCAACUCUGAUCCCAUCAGGAGCAUCUCAGCCUUGCCUGUAGAGCAUGAAGAGCACCGAAGAGGAAGCAUGUAUGUGUCACACACUGUUCAAGGUCGCACAUUGCUCAAGGAGCCCACGAGCAAUCAAGGGAGACAGAUGGAGAUGUGAAUUCACUAUGCUGCCCAGGCUGGUCUCGGACUCCUGACUCCAAGUAAUCCUCCCACCUUAGCUUGCCAAAGUGCUGGGCUUACAGGUAUGAACUACUGCUUCCGGCUGAGAGUUUACUUUUGUUUGCUAGUGGUGUUUUUGAUAUCUUUUCAUAUUUGAGGCUUUGGUGUUAGUGCUAAAAUAUUACACUCACCAUCUGAGGUUUACAGGACUUUUGUUUUAAUAUUAACAACUGUUUAGUUCUGCAUCUUUGCAAGUAUACACAAUAUGCCUACCAGGACUCUGCUUUAUAUCAAUCAAAAGCAAGAAGUAAUAAAGUAAAACUUUGCCUGGCUAGAGGCUUUGGAAGUAUGGAGUAUUCUGGUUUAAUUCUAUUAACUUGGAAGUACAAAGGUGAAAAAAAUUCAAAACCUUAAUUUCCUGUUGAAUGCAAUUUGAAAAUACAGCCAGUGAUUCCACUUUUCUUCUCUAGUAAGUUUGGACAUUCAGAUCUACUUGGUCUUUUAUUAUCACACUCCUAGUGUGCCUUAGACUUAUAUUGUGAAGGUCCCUUUCUAAAACUUUAGAUGUAGGAGGAUGUAAGUGGUGUUGUAUAAGAUCAGACUGGAUAAGAACAGAUAUCUGUAAACAUACUUUUUAGAUUAAAUCUCUGAUUGCCACUUGUUUUCUUAUUUAACUUAUAAAAAUAAAACACAUUAGCUGGAGGAUGGGAGUAGGAAGGAGAUUUAUGUCUUUUAAUUGCAUGUCUUUGUUUCAUAUCAAGACAGAACAUACAGUAUCCCUGGCUUUGGACCUACAGAAGGAAACACAUUUUUCUACCUGCUGUAUGCCAGAGGUUCCUGAACACCUGCAGGGUUUAUUGCAGCACAGAUUGCUAGGCCCUACUCCAGAGUUUCUGAUUCAUCAGGUCUAAGGUGGGGCCUGAGAAUAUGCAUUUAUAAAAAGUUCUCAGGUGAUGCUGGUGGUGCUGGUCCAGAGACUACAUUUUUGAGGACCAUUCUUGUAUACUAACUGUAAAUUGUAGAACUCUAGAAGAAAGCUUACUUGGGUCUGGGAUAAGAAGCACACAGGUUAUGGAGCAAAUCAUGAAAGAUUCAACCCUUGAUCCCAGCCUAGUGUGGAAUUCAGAUAACAUGCAAUACCCAGUGACAUAACACAAUUCUUGGUUUUCACAAUUGCUGCAAGUCAUAGUCUAGUAUCUAGUGAGAAAUUCAGUUUCAUUUGCAAGGUUUGGAGAGGCCAGGUGAUUCUAGUCAAAUAGGAUUUAGUGAUUAACCCCUUGAGAGUAGGAGUUGUUUAUGUCCUUUUUCUCUCCCCCAUCACUUAGCAUUUAGCCUUACUUUAGAAGGGCCUUGUAAUUUUUUUUUAAACUGGUAAAGAGCUUUGAGUGCUUAUUAAAUUGAAAAAUGUGUGUUUUUA